GAUGAAGAACGCAGCAAAAUGCGAUAAGUAAUGUGAAUUGCAGAAUUCAGUGAAUCAUCGAAUCUUUGAACGCACCUUGCACCCUUUGGUAUUCCGAAGGGUAUGCUCGUUUGAGUGUCAUUGUACUCUCACACUUCUAAUUCCUUUCGGGAUUGGGAGCGGUGGACUUGGGUGUUGCUGCUUUAGUUGUGGCUCACCUCAAAUAAGUUAGUGCAACUCUUGGUUGGACAUAGUACGGCGUGAUAAGUGUCUUCGCCGGCGCCUCUGUAAGGAGGGUGGCCGAUCGGGAGCUCUGUGCUUCAAACCGUCUUCGGACAAUCUUUGACAACUUGACCUCAAAUCGAGUAGGACUACCCGCUGAACUUAAGCAUAUCAAUAAGCGGAGGA
This 387-nucleotide unclassified non-coding RNA is filed under the name soil metagenome. RNAcentral's name for it is "partial contains 5.8S ribosomal RNA, internal transcribed spacer 2, and large subunit ribosomal RNA". The stretch from base 1 to 120 matches the Rfam family "5.8S ribosomal RNA", at positions 35 to 154 of the family's 154-position model. The record is from RNAcentral.